Anas platyrhynchos (mallard) is the source of this 3855-nucleotide non-coding RNA. NCBI's taxonomy places the organism in Eukaryota, Metazoa, Chordata, Aves, Anseriformes, Anatidae. The record is from RefSeq and is a predicted model, not a curated record.
GCAAAUAUAAAUAUGCUGGCUUGUCAGAGUUGUCACUUUUACAGAAAGGUGCCUGAUCCAGGCAGAAGGGUGGAUCUGAAGGGUUUUCUGGGUCUCUGGUUGAAUUUCUCCUCAAAGCUAGAAAGUCGGUAGUCUGCAGGCAGGUACUCACAGAGGAUUUGGGAAAUCUGGGCUUAAUUUUUUAUUCUGUAAGAUUUAGAGCACAGCUUGAACACAGCUCUUCCAUUAACCCUUGUGAGUGCCCUAAUGUCGUGGGCUAUCCAGAUAGUUUUUCUCUGCCUCGGUAAUUUAUUUCUACAAACUGGAAAAUGUCCUACAGAAGGAAUUUAAAAAUGGCAGAGUUUCUGGCUGAGUCUGUAGCUUGAUUAUUAUGACAAGGAUGUAGGAGACUCUUGUCAAAGUCCUCGAUGCGCUGCAUGUUUAAUUAUUAAUACAAAGCAGACUUUCUCCAGUGGAAUAGAUUGAAAACAAUCCAUUCUGCCACCUGAUGGACAGGUCCCUUACCAGGCCUAUCACAUAUGUGCAUAGUAGUGCUUAGUCUGAAUGAAACUGAAAGAGUAUUUGAAACUUGUUUUUUUAUGCACCACUUCCGAAUAGCUGCAAAAUGAACAACUGUGUCUGCAGUGACAAUACAAAAAUCAUUGUCAAAGGGGGACCCACCUUUCUGGGUGACUACUGCAAGCCUUACAACACCUCAAGAAGCACAGUCAGAGUGCUGGCCCAGAGCAUGAAGGAGCGUGUUCACCUGGCAACAUACAACGCUGCUCAGCUUGCUUACACCAGCCAGUCACAGGCAGCGUGUCAGGCAAGUGCAUCUGGACAAGUCCACAACUGCUGCAUACAUCACCAGUUUCUAAAUUUUACCAGAACUACACUAUGGUGAAAAUUAUGAUGAGAACAGAAACCAUUUCUAGGAUCUAAAACACACUGGAUGGAUAUAUUAAUUUAUUCGUUUUGUCAGUUCCCCGUGACAGAAAGGUCUGUCCUGAUGCAUUCAUUGAUCCAGCUUUUCUCCACUUAUUUGCUAAACCUUCAGGUACUGAGGAUAUAAAACUAUACCAGAAGCAGGUGAACUGAGGACAUCCAGACACUGUGGAGAUGGUUGAAUUUAUCUGUAGUUCUGGCCUCCACAAACUGAGCUAUACGUGUCAGCUACUGAAUUUAUUCUCCCUGCUCUGUUCCAUCUAUUUCUCCAUGCAGUUCUUCAAGGAGUUCACACAAACACCCAUCUCCUUGCUUGUUAUAAGUAGCUUGCUUUAAAUUACUUGCAAGGUAUUUUCAACCUCAUGGAAUUCUCACUACAGGUGACAAAAGAUUUUUUUGUUUUUAAAUUGCAUAUUUAACUGGUAAAAGUUGCCCACUGAAGUACUGAUUCACAGAAAUAAGACACUGCAGCCUGUAUUGCUGUGCUGCAAUUUCAGACCCACAGGUGACUGACCUGUUCCAGGACUGCCUUGUUCCACCAUAUUUGCAAACAAACAGGAGCAAUGAGAUUAUUGUACUUAUAAAAAGGGGCCUGGAAAUGAAUUCAGAGGUGGUCAUGCUGAACUUGUAUAUUGCCUGAAGGAACAGGACACUGGGUAGGGUCUGAAUAACCCUUCAGACUGAGAGUUAGUUCGUAUUUAGAAGUCAGAAAUUGAGCUUUCUAUUUAGUAGCACUUCAGUGCUCUGAUAUUUUCUGCUAAUGACACUGCAAAUGUUUUUAUUCUGUUUUUCAGUGAGGACACAAGUGACACAGAAAGGUAAAGUUGUGAGGUCAAGGUAACAGAAGGGACAGAAUUUAUUGUAUCAUCGAAGAAUUUUCCAUCAGUCUUUAAUAUAUCCUUCUUACAUGAAGUCUGGCAAAACUGAAGACAUGUAAAGCAAUGGAAAUGUUCCUGCCACUAAGAAAUCUGGACAUGGCCAGGAAUGUGCAGUGAUGAAGUGUCUUAGAACUCUUCAGUUUCUUCAGCCAAGGACUUCUCUUGACAUGAAAUCAACAAGCCAUUUCAGAAGUGGAGUGGACUGAGUAGUUACUCACAGACUCACCUCGAUGCAAAUGCAGCAAACCCUUUUAGCAGUGGAGUGCAUUGAGUACUUAGUCAGUUUUAGAGAUGUCUCUGAACGCACUGUGACUGCCAGGUGAUGAGUAUUUAAUAAUGCUUGUGCUUCAAUUAGAAGUGCUGGUCUCAGAAUUCAACAAAGCCCUUCCUAACAUCCUCACUGAAUCAAACAUUUUCUCUCGCAACUCCCAUCCACUGUCAGGUAAGUUCAGCAGAUGAGAAAAGCUUGCCUGUUUUCAGCAGAGAGAGUAUUUCUUCAAAGCACUUCUUUCUGCAUGUUGAUCUUUUACAUGUAUGCCCAGUUAACCCUGUUUUAAAAGAACAUUCUUAACCUUUGACUGGGAUUUUGAGGACAACAGCAGCCUCUGCUGUUUUGACAGACUGCCUUUGUUCAAGUGGCUUUUUGGAACUUGUGUUUGGUAUAUUAACCAUAGAUGUGCUCGUUCUCAUUUGUUUAAUUCAUACUGUGCUUAAGUCACUCUGACCAGCCCAUUAUGUAUCCCUUUGUACACUACAGGACAUUGUAUUAGUGUGAUGGUUAGUAGCUCAGCCAAGUAAUAAUUUGAAGUUGCAAAAUCUGGGUUUGGGAGCAACAUGCCUUCUACCCAUCUACUGAUGUAACUCACACAUAUCAGAAAUGAAGCAGAAUAAGAUAUUUUCAUUUUCCGGGACCAACAUACUGCCAUAGAUUUCUCCCCUUCCAGACAGUAUUAACUGUAUGAGGCUUUCACACACAUCCACCUUGUUUACAUUAUAAUUUCUACUCACAUAGGGCAGAAAUAGGAUUCCCAAAACACAAUAUAGCAAUAAACACUGUUAAAAAAAAUGUAAAAAAUGACUGACCAGGCAUGCAAUAUGCUUCUUGCCUCUGUAUAAAUCCUAUGUGGAUGUGGAUGAUUUGAUUUAUUUUCCAUAUCAAAAGCAAUAUCUUUCCUAAGGCAAUAUUAGAAUAGUUUUUAAUGAUAACAGACUGUGUAGUGAUGACUUUUUUAUAUAAAUUUAAUGAUUUUUACCGUAGGCCCUCCUAUUUGAAAACCUAUAUGAAAUCAAGUGAAUACUAGCUAAAUACCACCCUCCCUACUCUAACUAUAGGUGAGUGUAAUUUUGAAAAGAUAUUGUCUUAAUUGGACUGAUUGCAUCUGCUGAAUGUAGUGGUGACAAGUUUAAGAAAGAAUAACAUUUAAGGAUUAUUGCCUUAAAUUAACAAUCCACAACUUUGUAGACUCGAUUGCAGUUUAUCUUGUUAAAGAUAGUCAAAGUUGGUAUUCAGAUAUCCUUCUUACAUUUUCCAGGGUCUCUUGGCCUUAUUAAUUCAAAUCUUACUUUCAAUGUAUGCAUGUAGCCAAGAUAAUUAUUAGAAGGAGAGAUCAAAGCAAGCAUAUUAUAGUCCUAUUCCAUUUUCUGCUGAUGUGAGUGAUCUGCCUCUUCUUUGAUGUUGUAUGCUUCUACAGUGAAAGUACAGAGGAUAAAAAUACUACACCAUGUAAUCUGGCAUUUAUCCCAUGAGAGCAGAAUUCCAAAUUGUGACACAUGUCAAGAAGUUAAAAAAAAUAACUUAAAAGAGCCCUAUGCUUUCUACAGUGACAUACUCUGCAUUUAAACACCAUCAAACAUCAUUUUCCAUUACAAAUUUAGUCCCCUAUAUAAAAUUCAAAGAAUUUCUGUAACUUUAGUCAAAGAAAAUGACAGCAAUACUUACAAAAUAGCUACUAUAUUUACUAGUAGUUACACUGCAGCUUAGCUUUAUUCAAACCAAAUUCUAUGUUUUUUCCUUAAAAAGGCAAAAGAAAGAAAAAACUAACAUUUUUGUGCA